RNAcentral lists this ribosomal RNA (275 nucleotides) under uncultured bacterium. RNAcentral describes it as "partial 16S ribosomal RNA". It matches the Rfam family "Bacterial small subunit ribosomal RNA", at positions 338 to 632 of the family's 1533-position model. The record is from RNAcentral.
CCUACGGGCGGCUGCAGUAAUGAAUCUUCCACAAUGCACGAAAGUGUGAUGGAGCGACGCCGAGUGAAGGUUAAGUCCUUCGGGAUGUAAACUUCUAAAACCUGUUAGAAAGUUCUGAUCAGCAGGCUAUAAGUGGCGACUAACUCUGUGCCAGCAGUCGCGGUAAUACAGAGGCCACGAGCGUUAGGCGGAAUCACUGGGCUUAAAGCGCGUGUAGGCGGAUGCCUAAGUACCUUGUGAAAUCCCAUAGCUCAACUAUGGAACUGCUUGGUAUA